GAUGAACGCUGGCGGCGUGCCUAACACAUGCAAGUCGAGCGAUUUACUUCGGUAAAGAGCGGCGGACGGGUGAGUAACGCGUGGGUAACCUGCCCUGUACACACGGAUAACAUACCGAAAGGUAUGCUAAUACGAGAUAAUAUGCUUUUAUCGCAUGGUAGAAGUAUCAAAGCUCCGGCGGUAUAGGAUGGACCCGCGUCUGAUUAGCGAGUUGGUAAGGUAACGGCUUACCAAGGCGACGAUCAGUAGCCGACCUGAGAGGGUGAUCGGCCACAUUGGAACUGAGACACGGUCCAAACUCCUACGGGAGGCAGCAGUGGGGAAUAUUGCACAAUGGGCGAAAGCCUGAUGCAGCAACGCCGCGUGAGCGAUGAAGGCCUUCGGGUCGUAAAGCUCUGUCCUCAAGGAAGAUAAUGACGGUACUUGAGGAGGAAGCCCCGGCUAACUACGUGCCAGCCGCCGCAGUAA
RNAcentral lists this ribosomal RNA (468 nucleotides) under uncultured bacterium. RNAcentral describes it as "partial 16S ribosomal RNA". It matches the Rfam family "Bacterial small subunit ribosomal RNA", at positions 28 to 523 of the family's 1533-position model. The record is from RNAcentral.